GACGAACGCUGGCGGCGUGCUUAACACAUGCAAGUCGAACGGAAAGGCCCUGCUUUUGUGGGGUGCUCGAGUGGCGAACGGGUGAGUAACACGUGAGUAACCUGCCCUUGACUUUGGGAUAACUUCAGGAAACUGGGGCUAAUACCGGAUAGGAGCUCCUGCUGCAUGGUGGGGGUUGGAAAGUUUCGGCGGUUGGGGAUGGACUCGCGGCUUAUCAGCUUGUUGGUGGGGUAGUGGCUUACCAAGGCUUUGACGGGUAGCCGGCCUGAGAGGGUGACCGGCCACAUCGGGACUGAGAUACGGCCCAGACUCGAAUGGGAGGCAGCAGUGGGGAGUAUAGCACAAUGGGAGGGAGCCAGAUGCAGCAACGCCGCGUGCGGGAUGACGGGCUGCGGGUUGUAAACCGAUGUCGCCUGUGACGAGGCGUGAGUGACGGUAAUGGGUAAAGAAGCACCGGCUAACUACGUG
Molecule: ribosomal RNA, 468 nt
Filed under: uncultured bacterium
Lineage: Bacteria
Description: partial 16S ribosomal RNA
Rfam family: Bacterial small subunit ribosomal RNA
Source: RNAcentral